RNAcentral lists this small nuclear RNA (62 nucleotides) under Sorex araneus (European shrew). RNAcentral describes it as "U7 small nuclear RNA (ENSSARG00000018560.1)". It matches the Rfam family "U7 small nuclear RNA". Rfam says of the family: Animal histone pre-mRNAs are spliced by a different mechanism than nuclear pre-mRNAs and self-splicing introns. This processing involves the U7 snRNP, which contains only one RNA species: U7. The record is from RNAcentral. Lineage: Eukaryota; Metazoa; Chordata; Mammalia; Eulipotyphla; Soricidae.
UAGUAUUACAGCUCUUACAGAUUUAGUCUAGCAGGUUUUUAAGUUGUUACUGAAAAGCCGGC